CACUCCUACGGGAGGCAGCAGUGGGGAAUUUUGGACAAUGGGCGAAAGCCUGAUCCAGCAAUGCCGCGUGAGUGAAGAAGGCCUUCGGGUUGUAAAGCUCUUUUGUCAGGGAAGAAACGGUGAAAGCUAAUAUCUUUUGCUAAUGACGGUACCUGAAGAAUAAGCACCGGCUAACUACGUGCCAGCAGCCGCGGUAAUACGUAGGGUGCAAGCGUUAAUCGGAAUUACUGGGCGUAAAGCGUGCGCAGGCGGUUUUGUAAGUCUGAUGUGAAAUCCCCGGGCUCAACCUGGGAAUUGCAUUGGAGACUGCAAGGCUAGAAUCUGGCAGAGGGGGGUAGAAUUCCACGUGUAGCAGUGAAAUGCGUAGAUAUGUGGAGGAACACCGAUGGCGAAGGCAGCUCCCUGGGUCAAGAUUGACGCUCAUGCACGAAAGCGUGGGGAGCAAACAGGAUUAGAUACCCUGGUAGUCCCA
This 472-nucleotide ribosomal RNA is filed under the name uncultured organism. RNAcentral's name for it is "partial 16S ribosomal RNA". It matches the Rfam family "Bacterial small subunit ribosomal RNA", at positions 334 to 797 of the family's 1533-position model. The record is from RNAcentral.